AGCAACCCGCUUUGGUCCCCUUCCACACUGUAGCAGCUUUGUUCUUUAGCUCCUUGCAAUAAAUCUUGCUGCUGCUCACACUUUGGGUCCACACUGCCUUUAUGAGCUGUAAGACUCACCACGAAGGUCUGCAGCUUCACUCCUGAAGCCAGUGAGACCACUAACCCAGCGGGAGGAACGAACAACUCCAGACACGCUGCCUUAAGAGCUGUAACACUCCCCGCGAAGGUCCGCAGCUUCACUCCUGAGCUAGCAUGACCGCGAACCCACCAGAGGGAAGAAACUCCGAACACAUCUGAAUAUCAGAGGGAACAAACUCCGAACACGCCGCCUUUAAGAACUGUUAACACUCACCGCGAGGGUCCGCGGCUUCAUUCUUGAAGUCAGUCAGACCAAGAACCUACCAAUUCUGGACACGCUACCGGGGGACAUGAUAAAUCUGCGAAGGGCACCUCAGGUUUUAUCUUCAUCAGCCUGGUCAAAGCUGGAUUUCCAUCACACAUGUGCUCACUCCACGGAAGGUGCAAAAGGUCAAGACACACAAACUCAGAGUUUUUACAAUCAAGAAUUGAAAGU
This 576-nucleotide non-coding RNA is filed under the name Pongo abelii (Sumatran orangutan). The record is from RNAcentral. Lineage: Eukaryota; Metazoa; Chordata; Mammalia; Primates; Hominidae.